Molecule: ribosomal RNA, 441 nt
Filed under: uncultured bacterium
Lineage: Bacteria
Description: bacterial SSU rRNA
Rfam family: Bacterial small subunit ribosomal RNA
Source: RNAcentral
AAUAUUGCACAAUGGGCGCAAGCCUGAUGCAGCCAUGCCGCGUGUAUGAAGAAGGCCUUCGGGUUGUAAAGUACUUUCAGCAGUGAGGAAGGUGGGUAUGUUAAUAGCAUAUUCAUUUGACGUUAGCUGCAGAAGAAGCACCGGCUAACUCCGUGCCAGCAGCCGCGGUAAUACGGAGGGUGCGAGCGUUAAUCGGAAUUACUGGGCGUAAAGCGCAUGCAGGUGGUUUGUUAAGUCAGAUGUGAAAGCCCGGGGCUCAACCUCGGAAUUGCAUUUGAAACUGGACAAACUAGAGUACUGUAGAGGGGGUAGAAUUUCAGGUGUAGCGGUGAAAUGCGUAGAGAUCUGAAGGAAUACCGGUGGCGAAGGCGGCCCCCUGGACAGAUACUGACACUCAGAUGCGAAAGCGUGGGGAGCAAACAGGAUUAGAUACCCUGGUAG